CAUAUCCAGGAAAUAUAAAAUGUCAUAUAUUUCCUCCUCACUUAAGGACCUGGUAAAACCCUUGUAAGAGAAACAGUCUUUGGUUAUGUUUGAUCGAGGCUCUGGAUUCUUUUUGUGUUGUUUCACUUCUUCUGAGUCUUUUCUGUGUCCCACGCAGUUCUCUCCUGGUGCAAGCCUGUUUUGAACUGUCACUUCUUGUAGCAUCCCCUUUUCUGAUUAUUUGUGGAAAGAACCUCCACGUCUGCAUCUGGAAUUGCUCAAGGGUCACUACAGGACUGUGCAUCUAAAUCUGAAGUAAGAUCUCGAGAGAAAGUGGCAUGUGUCUUAAGAUGUUCAAGCACGGUUGUAAAUUCUCCUUGCUCUGGCUACCCCAGGAUCUAUAAAGCGAGAAGAUGGAUCUGAGAAUGCUGUCUGGGCUUGGUGCCAAGGGCUGGUAUUUCACAGCAGCGACCGCCUCACAGACGAGCUGUGGGAAGCAGGAGGGAGACUCUCUCUUAGGGUGCCACUACUAUGGAGACACAGCUGGGCUGAACAAGAUUUGCUUCAAACGACAACAAGAGAGACAGAAAAUAUCUGGUUCAACCGCUGCCCAAGCAGGCAGGCACCAGAAGAGCUAGCAGCCAAUCCGGCCAUGCUCGAAGCCAGCUCUGCAGCUCAGCCAAUCAGUGACAUCACUGGUGAGAAACUCAUUUACAUCAUGCAGUAAUGAACUUUGUUUAACAUAGCCUCCCCCUUUCCUGCUACCCCUCUCCCCAUAUUAGGUCCUUCCAUUAAUUAUUCUGCUGGCAUAAUUUAAACCGCUAUGCAAAAAUGUGGCUACAUUCUCUCAUAGUUUUUACUUUUUUUCUCCCAUUGGUGCCUGCAGUCACUGGAAGUGAGUCAUCGUACAAUUCUAUUUUAUUUUGAACUUACAAAAAUUACCUUUUCUUUCUUUAAAAUGACGUUUGAAACAAAAUA
Fukomys damarensis (Damara mole-rat) is the source of this 957-nucleotide long non-coding RNA. RefSeq lists it as uncharacterized. The record is from RefSeq and is a predicted model, not a curated record. Lineage: Eukaryota; Metazoa; Chordata; Mammalia; Rodentia; Bathyergidae. The transcript is spliced from 3 exons.